This 66-nucleotide transfer RNA is filed under the name Sinodendron cylindricum. RNAcentral's name for it is "tRNA-Trp". Lineage: Eukaryota; Metazoa; Arthropoda; Insecta; Coleoptera; Lucanidae. The record is from RNAcentral.
AAGGAUUUAAGUUAAACUAAACUUGUAGCCUUCAAAGCUUCCAAUAAAGAUAAUCUUUAAGCCUUA